GGGCCCGUGGCCUAGCCAGGAAUGGCGUCGGGCUCCAGACCCGAAGGCCGUGGGCUCGAAUCCCACCGGGCCCACCA
Molecule: transfer RNA, 77 nt
Filed under: archaeon
Lineage: Archaea
Description: tRNA-Trp
Rfam family: tRNA
About the family: Transfer RNA (tRNA) molecules are approximately 80 nucleotides in length. Their secondary structure includes four short double-helical elements and three loops (D, anti-codon, and T loops).
Source: RNAcentral